RNAcentral lists this ribosomal RNA (494 nucleotides) under uncultured bacterium. RNAcentral's name for it is "partial 16S ribosomal RNA". It matches the Rfam family "Bacterial small subunit ribosomal RNA", at positions 28 to 507 of the family's 1533-position model. The record is from RNAcentral.
GACGAACGCUGGCGGCGUGCUUAACACAUGCAAGUCGAACGGUGAAGCGCCUUCCUUUUUGGUGGGUGUGGAUGAGUGGCGAACGGGUGAGUAACACGUGAGUAACCUGCCCCCUUCUUCUGGAUAACCGCAUGAAAGUUUGGCUAAUACGGGAUAUUCUGGGUCUGUCGCAUGAUGGGUCUGGGAAAGAUUUUGUUUCGGUGGGGGAUGGGCUCGCGGACUAUCAGCUUGUUGGUGGGGUGAUGGCCUACCAAGGCGGUGACGGGUAGCCGGCCUGGGAGGGUGGACGGUAACACAGGGACUGAGACACGGACCAGACUCCUACGGGAGGCAGCAGUGGAGAAUAUGGCACAAUGGGCGAAAGCAUGAUGCAGCGACGCCGCGUGAGGGAUGGAGGCCUUCGGGUUGUGAACCUCUUUCGCCAGUGAAGCAGGCCUGCCUCGUUUGUGGGUGGGUUGACGGUAGCUGGAUAAGAAGCGCCGGCUAACUACGUG